UGGGGAAUAUUGCGCAAUGGGCGAAAGCCUGACGCAGCGACGCCGCGUGAGGGAUGAAGGUUUUCGGAUCGUAAACCUCUGUCAGAAGGGAAGAAACCGCACUGUGCUAAUCAGCAGUGCCUUGACGGUACCUUCAAAGGAAGCACCGGCUAACUCCGUGCCAGCAGCCGCGGUAAUACGGAGGGUGCAAGCGUUAAUCGGAAUUACUGGGCGUAAAGCGCACGUAGGCUGCUUUGUAAGUCAGGGGUGAAAUCCCACGGCUCAACCGUGGAACUGCCUUUGAUACUGCUUAGCUUGAAUCCGGGAGAGGGUGGCGGAAUUCCAGGUGUAGGAGUGAAAUCCGUAGAUAUCUGGAGGAACAUCAGUGGCGGAGGCGGCCACCUGGACCGGUAUUGACGCUGAGGUGCGAAAGCGUGGGGAGCAAACAGG
This 429-nucleotide ribosomal RNA is filed under the name Fusobacteriota bacterium. RNAcentral's name for it is "Fusobacteria bacterium partial 16S ribosomal RNA". It matches the Rfam family "Bacterial small subunit ribosomal RNA", at positions 355 to 776 of the family's 1533-position model. The record is from RNAcentral. Lineage: Bacteria; Fusobacteriati; Fusobacteriota.